UGGGGAAUUUUGGACAAUGGGCGCAAGCCUGAUCCAGCCAUGCCGCGUGCGGGGAGAAGGCCUUCGGGUUGUAAACCGCUUUUGUCAGGGAAGAAAUCCUUUGAGCUAAUACCUCGGGGGGAUGACGGUACCUGAAGAAUAAGCACCGGCUAACUACGUGCCAGCAGCCGCGGUAAUACGUAGGGUGCAAGCGUUAAUCGGAAUUACUGGGCGUAAAGCGUGCGCAGGCGGUUAUGCAAGACAGAGGUGAAAUCCCCGGGCUCAACCUGGGAACUGCCUUUGUGACUGCAUAGCUAGAGUACGGUAGAGGGGGAUGGAAUUCCGCGUGUAGCAGUGAAAUGCGUAGAUAUCGGGAGGAACACCAGUGGCGAAGGCGGCGAUCUGGGUCGAUACUGACGCUGAGGUGCGAAAGCGUGGGGAGCAAACA
This 427-nucleotide ribosomal RNA is filed under the name uncultured bacterium. Its description in RNAcentral is "bacterial SSU rRNA". It matches the Rfam family "Bacterial small subunit ribosomal RNA", at positions 355 to 774 of the family's 1533-position model. The record is from RNAcentral.